Molecule: ribosomal RNA, 440 nt
Filed under: uncultured bacterium
Lineage: Bacteria
Description: partial 16S ribosomal RNA
Rfam family: Bacterial small subunit ribosomal RNA
Source: RNAcentral
CCUACGGGAGGCAGCAGUAGGGAAUAUUGCUCAAUGGGGGAAAGCCUGAAGCAGCAACGCCGCGUGGAGGAUGAAGGUUUUAGGAGUGGAAACUCGUUUUGGUAGAGAAGAUUAUGACGGUAUCUAUCGAAUAAGCACCGGCUAACGCCGUGCCAGCAGCCGCGGUAAUACGGAGGGUGCAAGCGUUAUCCGGAAUAACUGGGCUUAAAGAGUGCGUAGGCGGGGUAAUAAGUCAGAGGUGAAAUCCUGUGGCUUAACUACAGAACUGCAUUUGAAACUGUUCGUCUGGAGUGUGGGUGAGGUAGGUGGAAUGCUUGGUGUAGCGGUAAAAUGCGUAGAGAUCAAGAGGAAUACUGAUUGCGAAGGCGACCUGCUGGAACAUUACUGACGCUGAUGCACGAAAGCGUGGGGAGCAAACAGGAUUAGAUACCCCUGUAGUC